GGCGUGCCUAACACAUGCAAGUCGAACGGAGAUUACAGACGGAAGUUUUCGGAUGGAAGACUGUAAUUCUUAGUGGCGGACGGGUGAGUAACGCGUGGGCAACCUGCCCUGUACAGGGGGAUAGCAGCUGGAAACGGCUGGUAAGACCGCAUAAGUCGGUUAAAUCGCAUGAUUUGACCGGGAAAUGAGCAAUCAGGUAUAGGAUGGGCCCGCGUCCGAUUAGCCAGUUGGCAGGGUAAAAGCCUACCAAAGCGACGAUCGGUAGCCGGACUGAGAGGUCGGACGGCCACAUUGGGACUGAGACACGGCCCAAACUCCUACGGGAGGCAGCAGUGGGGGAUAUUGCACAAUGGAGGAAACUCUGAUGCAGCGACGCCGCGUGAGUGAAGAAGUAUUUCGGUAUGUAAAGCUCUAUCAGCA
This 420-nucleotide ribosomal RNA is filed under the name Catonella morbi. RNAcentral's name for it is "bacterial SSU rRNA". It matches the Rfam family "Bacterial small subunit ribosomal RNA", at positions 41 to 441 of the family's 1533-position model. The record is from RNAcentral. Lineage: Bacteria; Bacillati; Bacillota; Clostridia; Lachnospirales; Lachnospiraceae.